UACCUGACUUAGCUGGAAGCUCUCUGG
This 27-nucleotide non-coding RNA is filed under the name Mus musculus (house mouse). Lineage: Eukaryota; Metazoa; Chordata; Mammalia; Rodentia; Muridae. The record is from RNAcentral.